Molecule: ribosomal RNA, 261 nt
Filed under: uncultured archaeon
Lineage: Archaea
Description: partial 16S ribosomal RNA
Rfam family: Archaeal small subunit ribosomal RNA
Source: RNAcentral
CAGCCGUAAACUAUGCUCGCUAGGUGUCAGGCAUGGCGCGACCGUGUCUGGUGCCGCAGGGAAGCCGUGAAGCGAGCCACCUGGGAAGUACGGCCGCAAGGCUGAAACUUAAAGGAAUUGGCGGGGGAGCACAACAACGGGUGGAGCCUGCGGUUUAAUUGGAUUCAACGCCGGACAUCUCACCGGGUAAGACAGCUGAAUGAUUGUCAAUCUGAAGGUUUUACAUGACUAGCUGAGAGGAGGUGCAUGGCGUAGACGUCU